GGAAAGCCUGAUUUAGCAUGUAACGUGAACAUGAGCGGACACCCACACAAUCUCAGUUUGAAGAAGAAGUACCAUACCAUUGUAGUUUUUAGGGCAAAAAAGAAUGGGUCAUAUUUGUCAAUUGAUAACUGAGUGAGAGAAGACAAUCACGUUCUUAAAGCGGUCGGUUCGCUGGAUUCACUACCGUCCCCUAUUGAUCGGCUGCCCGUGAAACACAUAGGCUCCUAUCGCAUUUAUCGAUCGAGAAUGGUCUCAUCACAGAAACACUUUCUAUAUGCUAUUUCGAGGUUCUAAGAAGCAAGCAAGUUUAUAGGGCAUAUAGUUGUUUUUUUGUAGGG
This 338-nucleotide long non-coding RNA is filed under the name Hordeum vulgare. Its description in RNAcentral is "long non-coding RNA (HVUL_LNC015711)". The record is from RNAcentral. Lineage: Eukaryota; Viridiplantae; Streptophyta; Magnoliopsida; Poales; Poaceae.